GAUGAACGCUGGCGGCGUGCCUAAUACAUGCAAGUCGAGCGAACAGACGAGAAGCUUGCUCCUCUGACGUUAGCGGCGGACGGGUGAGUAACACGUGGAUAACCUACCUAUAAGACUGGGAUAACUUCGGGAAACCGGAGCUAAUACCGGAUAAUAUAUUGAACCGCAUGGUUCAAUAGUGAAAGACGGUCUUGCUGUCACUUAUAGAUGGAUCCGCGCUGCAUUAGCUAGUUGGUAAGGUAACGGCUUACCAAGGCAACGAUGCGUAGCCGACCUGAGAGGGUGAUCGGCCACACUGGAACUGAGACACGGUCCAGACUCCUACGGGAGGCAGCAGUAGGGAAUCUUCCGCAAUGGGCGAAAGCCUGACGGAGCAACGCCGCGUGAGUGAUGAAGGUCUUCGGAUCGUAAAACUCUGUUAUUAGGGAAGAACAAAUGUGUAAGUAACUGUGCACGUCUUGACGGUACCUAAUCAGAAAGCCACGGCUAACUACGUG
This 497-nucleotide ribosomal RNA is filed under the name uncultured bacterium. Its description in RNAcentral is "partial 16S ribosomal RNA". It matches the Rfam family "Bacterial small subunit ribosomal RNA", at positions 28 to 507 of the family's 1533-position model. The record is from RNAcentral.